GGAAUUACUGGGCGUAAAGCGUGCGCAGGCGGUUCGGAAAGAAGGAUGUGAAAUCCCAGGGCUCAACCUUGGAACUGCAUUCUUAACUACCGGACUAGAGUAUGUCAGAGGGGGGUAGAAUUCCGCGUGUAGCGGUGAAAUGCGUAGAUAUGCGGAGGAAUACCGAUGGCGAAGGCAGCCCCCUGGGAUAAUACCGACGCUCAUGCACGAAAGCGUGGGUAGC
Molecule: ribosomal RNA, 223 nt
Filed under: uncultured bacterium
Lineage: Bacteria
Description: partial 16S ribosomal RNA
Rfam family: Bacterial small subunit ribosomal RNA
Source: RNAcentral